UGGCUAUGAGGAUGACAAUAUUAGAAUGAUUCUAUGUGAAUUAUAUCAUACGCUAUUCUGAGCCUUUG
This is a small nucleolar RNA of Astyanax mexicanus (Mexican tetra), 68 nucleotides long. Ensembl annotates it as small nucleolar RNA, C/D box 54. Its record names the gene SNORD54. NCBI's taxonomy places the organism in Eukaryota, Metazoa, Chordata, Actinopteri, Characiformes, Acestrorhamphidae. The record is from Ensembl.